AUUGGCAGCGCCGCACGCGCGGGCGCCGCCCGCGGAGCGCGGAUGUGGGAGACGCGGGGCCGGCAUGGUGGUGCUGCGCGGCCUGCGGCGGCGUUGGAACGCCUAUAAGUACCGCUUCGUGCCCUGGCUGGCCUUCAACGUCCGCCGCCAGCGCAGGACGCUUCGGUACGUUCCUGAAAGCUCCCAGGACAAAAUAGUCCCCGAUGAAAUUGUCUUAGAGACGCUGCUGAAAGUAUUCACAGCGCUGUUGGUAAACGACUUCGGCCGGCACGUGCCGGCGCUGUCCCUGCUGCCCGCCGUCGGGCGGAGGUACGCGCAGUUACGGAGCGCCGCGCUGCAGCCGGGCGCUGGGAGCUCGCGGAGCCGCCAGGUGCUGCUCAGCCCGGAGGAGGUCCUGUUCCGGACGCUGGGGUUCAGCGUCACCCGGGACCGGAGCUCCCUGCUUUCUGCCGGGACCGGAGUCUUCGUUAGCAAAGGCUUCGUGCCGAAAGGGGCGCUUGUGGCCAUGUAUCCCGGUACGGUCUACAGAAAGCACGAGCCCAUCUUUUUCCAGUCGCUUGGCAAUCCGUUUAUUUUUAGGUGCAUAGAUGGUAUUCUUAUUGAUGGGAACGAUAAAGGACUGUCAAGAUCAGUGUACAGGUCUUGCAGCUGGAGGGAUCAGCUUGGCCCCUUUCAGAUGAGCGACGUGAGCUGGCUCACGGCUGCUCCACAGAACCCACUGGCUGUGGGACAGUAUGUGAACAACUGCUCCUACGAAAAAGCAGCCAAUGUAUGUUAUCAGGAGUUUGAUGUGCCAAGACAUUUUCCUGUAGAACUGAAACAGUAUCUUCCAAACAUCGUCUACAGCCACGAGAUAGAGAGGUUAGCAGUGAGUCAAAGAGCUCGUAGAUUUGUGUGAAUCAAAGCAUACUGCAUGUGUGGAAAAGGAAAACGUGUUUGAAGGGAAUGUUAGUCCAUGAGAAGAUGCCACCUGAGGUGUGUAGUGCUUGUCACUCUCAGAGACAUCAAGCAAGGAGAAGAACUUUUUUCUAAUUACUACACUAUUGUCAAUU
Molecule: RNA transcript, 1052 nt
Organism: Phasianus colchicus (ring-necked pheasant)
Lineage: Eukaryota; Metazoa; Chordata; Aves; Galliformes; Phasianidae
Gene: SETD9
Gene name: SET domain containing 9
Source: RefSeq, a predicted model, not a curated record